UACGUAGGGGGCAAGCGUUGUCCGGAAUCAUUGGGCGUAAAGCGCGUGUAGGCGGUUCGGUAAGUCUGCUGUGAAAGUCCAGGGCUCAACCCUGGGAUGCCGGUGGAUACUGUCGGACUAGAGUACGGAAGAGGCGAGUGGAAUUCCCGGUGUAGCGGUGAAAUGCGCAGAUAUCGGGAGGAACACCUAUGGCGAAGGCAGCUCGCUGGGACGUUACUGACGCUGAGACGCGAAAGCGUGGGGAGCAAACAGG
Molecule: ribosomal RNA, 253 nt
Filed under: uncultured bacterium
Lineage: Bacteria
Description: partial 16S ribosomal RNA
Rfam family: Bacterial small subunit ribosomal RNA
Source: RNAcentral